This 497-nucleotide ribosomal RNA is filed under the name uncultured bacterium. RNAcentral describes it as "partial 16S ribosomal RNA". It matches the Rfam family "Bacterial small subunit ribosomal RNA", at positions 28 to 507 of the family's 1533-position model. The record is from RNAcentral.
GACGAACGCUGGCGGCGUGCCUAAUACAUGCAAGUAGAACGCUGAAACUUGGUGCUUGCACCGAGCGGAUGAGUUGCGAACGGGUGAGUAACGCGUAGGUAACCUGCCUGGUAGCGGGGGAUAACUAUUGGAAACGAUAGCUAAUACCGCAUAAGAGUAGAUGUUGCAUGACAUUUGCUUAAAAGGUGCAAUUGCACCACUACCAGAUGGACCUGCGUUGUAUUAGCUAGUUGGUGGGGUAACGGCUCACCAAGGCGACGAUACAUAGCCGACCUGAGAGGGUGAUCGGCCACACUGGGACUGAGACACGGCCCAGACUCCUACGGGAGGCAGCAGUAGGGAAUCUUCGGCAAUGGACGGAAGUCUGACCGAGCAACGCCGCGUGAGUGAAGAAGGUUUUCGGAUCGUAAAGAUCUGUUGUAAGAGAAGAACGAGUGUGAGAGUGGAAAGUUCACACUGUGACGGUAUCUUACCAGAAAGGGACGGCUAACUACGUG